This 376-nucleotide ribosomal RNA is filed under the name uncultured bacterium. Its description in RNAcentral is "bacterial SSU rRNA". It matches the Rfam family "Bacterial small subunit ribosomal RNA", at positions 524 to 898 of the family's 1533-position model. The record is from RNAcentral.
UACGUAGGGGGCAAGCGUUGUCCGGAUUUAUUGGGCGUAAAGAGCGUGUAGGCGGCUUUACAGGUCCGUUGUGAAAACUCGAGGCUCAACCUCGAGACGCCGGUGGAAACCGUAAGGCUAGAGUCCGGAAGAGGAGAGUGGAAUUCCUGGUGUAGCGGUGAAAUGCGCAGAUAUCAGGAGGAACACCCGUGGCGAAAGCGGCUCUCUGGGACGGUACUGACGCUGAGACGCGAAAGCGUGGGGAGCAAACAGGAUUAGAUACCCUGGUAGUCCACGCCGUAAACGAUGGGUGCUAGGUGUGGGCGGUGUCGACUCCGUCCGUGCCGUAGCUAACGCAUUAAGCACCCCGCCUGGGGAGUACGGCCGCAAGGCUAAA